This 253-nucleotide ribosomal RNA is filed under the name uncultured bacterium. RNAcentral's name for it is "partial 16S ribosomal RNA". It matches the Rfam family "Bacterial small subunit ribosomal RNA", at positions 524 to 776 of the family's 1533-position model. The record is from RNAcentral.
UACGAAGGGGGCUAGCGUUGCUCGGAAUCACUGGGCGUAAAGCGCACGUAGGCGGCUUUCUAAGUCAGGGGUGAAAUCCUGGAGCUCAACUCCAGAACUGCCUUUGAUACUGGAGAGCUUGAGUCCGGAAGAGGUGAGUGGAACUCCGAGUGUAGAGGUGAAAUUCGUAGAUAUUCGGAAGAACACCAGUGGCGAAGGCGGCUCACUGGUCUGGUACUGACGCUGAGGAGCGAAAGCGUGGGGAGCGAACAGG